Molecule: long non-coding RNA, 2396 nt
Organism: Vespula pensylvanica (western yellowjacket)
Lineage: Eukaryota; Metazoa; Arthropoda; Insecta; Hymenoptera; Vespidae
Exons: 3
Source: RefSeq, a predicted model, not a curated record
AUUUAUAUUCGAACUUUUGACUUCGAUUUCAAAACAUGUUCGUUUCUCUGAUAUGAAAUAAAGAUCUUUUGAGAGUAACGAGCGAUCGAGAGACUCAAUUCACGAGGAUUAUUAACGCGGAUGGUCGUUCUACUUUUCGGAGGUGUGCAAUUGGAUGGCUUCAAUCGUGCCGACGGAAGUCGUUAAUGUCCUGCGAGUAGUGUAUAUGAUGCAGGUGACGACCCAGUUUUAUGUCAAACGGGUAUAUUUGAGAAAUUUCAUUAAAACUUCGAUGCUUUUAUUCAAGAUAAACGAUAACGAUAAUAGUUAAUUUGACAUUUUUCAAUGAACGAGAUUAAGUGAUUCGAAGUGCGUUUCGAUUAAAACAGGAAUUUUUUGUUCUCGACCUCAUUAUUGAUCAAUCUCAAAUUUUGAUUAAUGAUUCGGAAAAUAUCAGUUUUAACAAAAUUUGUGGAAAUUUUUAUCGAAUAGCGAUGUAUAUACGAGAAUUAUAAGCAGAGGUUACAAGAGUCAGAGGAUACAAGCGACAGGAAGUCCAUUGUAUAAAGUUACGUGUAUGUAUGCUUUAUGCUUUUAGGAUAUAUAUAAUUGCGCGACAUUACUUUUAUAUAAUUAAUCAGCAAGCACAAAUUGGUAUACUUUUUCAACCACAAACAAAUAAUGAAAUCAUUACGAUAAUUAGAAAAUUAGAAUUUAUCUGACGUUAUCUUGCAUAGACAUUCUGACAGCUAAUUCGAAUGUCAGAUGCGAAAGAGGUUAAUUGUAAGGAAUUUUGCUCGACUAGUAGUCACUCUUCAACUAUGUAACUUCUUUUUACAGUAAUUAACAGCGUAAAAUAUCAUUUAAAAUAAGAAUAACGAUUUAACGUAUGCAUAUGUACGUUUUAUAGUAAUGACUGAAGUGUAGCUGACAUAUCGACUGAUAUAAACUCGACAGAGGAAAAUAUUCGUUGCAUAAUGUUUCUAAUGCACUUGCCAAGCGGCGCUAAGAUAACAAAAUAAUGCCGAUAAUUGCAAUACUGCGCAGUAGAAUAAUGUUGGCUUUAUAAAGAGGGAGAACAUUUACGUAAAAAGAAAUUUUACGUAAUAUUAUAAUAGUACUCUAUCAUUUGAGCUAGUCAAUGGAUGAUCAGUGUUAGAGUUAGGAAACAGCCAAGCUUUUCGAAGCCCAACCUGUUGCUCUUGUAUAUUAUUAUUCCUAUUGUAAUCGCUUUAUUUUCUAUUGUUAAAGUAUAAUUUAAACAACAUUCUCAAACAAAAUUCGUGUAUCGAUAUUUAAAGAAACUUUUCUAUGUAUUAAAAUUCAUUCGUUUAGAAGAAAAAUUAUAUAUAUAUAAUGAAGAAACGCGAUCUAUACCGUUUCACUAUCUUGUGUGCGGAUACGAAAGAAGUUCGUUUCGUGACUUUAUAUUCUUUGGCUUCGACGAAGGUAUAAGGCUGGCUUCCAAAAUAAGUAUCUUACUGAAAAUUUGGAUACACAACUGCGCAGUUCCUGGCAUCCUAAUUAAUUUUUAAAGUAUCCUAAGGUUAUCCGAAAACCAACCAAACGAUUAAUUUUAUAUGUAACAAUUUUACUGUGCAAUGGAAUAUCGUAUUAAUAUCUAUAUUUUGUUUUAAUAAUUGCGAUGUUAUUUAAUUACAUAUCGAAACUCGUUAUCAAUAUUUUUACUCUUUUAAUUUAUUCCUUUAUCAUUAAUUUCGUUCUUGUUACAUGAUCUCAUAACAUUGUAGAGAUUUCUUUUAUGUUUCAAACAUUAUACGAGUCCAUUUAAAUGGUUCGUUAUAACAUGGUACACAUCGUUAAGAUGUACACGCGAUCGCUGAUACGGUUGUAGUACAAAAUGAUCUAGAAAAUGUAUAUAUCAAUGAAUGCAUUUGGAUGAGUAAGAGGAUCAUUAAUCGUGACAAAUUCUCGCGCAUCAUUUAGCAAAAGUUUCAUACUCCUAAUAGGAAUUCCAACUUUUACCGAUCGUUAUGCAAUCAUAUAAAGAAUUCUAAACACGACCUUUUCGGGUCACGAUAACGAAGCGAUAGAUUAUUUACAUUCUCGAUAUAUAUAUAUACUCCAUUCUCAUGGUUAUUUUUUCUUCAACACCAUAUGACACGUGGUUCUUCAUGAAUUUAUUGCGCAAAAGAUUGAAAUAGAAUACGCGUGGACAGAUAAGAUCGAUCGGAGAAAGAACGAUUUAUGGGACCGAUAAGAUAUUAGGGAAACGAGAUUUCGUUACUGUUGCAUCGCCAUGCUUUUGCUUUGGAUAUAUUACUCCGGAGUUAGGAAAGAAUAAUAAGUUCUGAUAGUGGAUAUCACAAUGUCACGCUUUUACUUGUGAGUGAAUUAAUUCGACGGAAUAAAUUAAUGAUGAGAUUGCGGCUGGAGGUGUAUGUAUUUAUACACAC